RNAcentral lists this unclassified non-coding RNA (253 nucleotides) under uncultured Cyclobacteriaceae bacterium. RNAcentral describes it as "contains 16S-23S intergenic spacer region". It matches the Rfam family "Bacterial small subunit ribosomal RNA", at positions 524 to 776 of the family's 1533-position model. The record is from RNAcentral. Lineage: Bacteria; Pseudomonadati; Bacteroidota; Cytophagia; Cytophagales; Cyclobacteriaceae.
UACGGAGGGUGCAAGCGUUGUCCGGAUUUAUUGGGUUUAAAGGGUGCGUAGGCGGGUCUUUAAGUCAGUGGUGAAAGCCCAUAGCUCAACUAUGGAACUGCCAUUGAUACUGGGGACCUUGAAUUCAGUUGAGGUAGGCGGAAUUGAUGGUGUAGCGGUGAAAUGCAUAGAUACCAUCAGGAACACCGAUUGCGAAGGCAGCUUACUGGACUUGAAUUGACGCUGAGGCACGAAAGCGUGGGGAGCGAACAGG